This is a non-coding RNA of Chlorocebus sabaeus (green monkey), 419 nucleotides long. Lineage: Eukaryota; Metazoa; Chordata; Mammalia; Primates; Cercopithecidae. The record is from RefSeq and is a predicted model, not a curated record.
CUGAUCCACCUGCCUCGGCCUCCCAAAGUGCUGGGAUAACAGAUGGGCACUCGUGGAAAAUGUCAUGAAGCACAUAGGCCUAAGGAUAUGUACAGAGCCUUAGAGUUGAAGGAAUGAUAAGAAUGCAGGUCAGAAGAACCUGGAAGAGGGCUUACAAGGAAUCAAAACCAUCUUGCUUCCAAACAGGAAAACAGACAUCACAUCUCCAACUCCUGUGUCCAUCCCAGCUUGUCUCAUACUCCAGUUUUUCAAAUGGAAAAAAUUUGAAAAUGUCUCCAAAUACUGGAAAAAUGACAGUUCAGCAAUAGAAUAUACAGAAGAAGGAACAACAAAAGGAAUGUACAGUCAACUGUAUCGAUGGGGUAGGAGAAUGUAAAUUAUUCAUGUUGAUGAAUACAUGGUUCAUUUGUUUGUUCUUU